UUCAACAACAGCUAACAGUAACUCUGAUCAAACAAGCGACACUUCAACAACAGCUAACAGUAACACUGCUCAAGCAAGCGACACGUCAACAACAGCUAACAGUAACUUUGCUCAAGCAAGCGACACUUCAACAACAGCUAACAGUAACUUUGCUCAAGCACGUGACACGUCAACAACAGCUACAGCCGAUGGCUCAUGUUCAGGGGACUCUGACUGCAGUGCAUUUCCGACUACAAGUUGCCGUGCUGGUUUCUGUACAUGUGGUAUAGGAUACGAUCUGGAUGUUGCUAGAGCAGUUUGCAGGGACUUAAGAGAGUGUACCACCUUCGGAACAGAAUACAUCCAUUUCCCAGGACAGGCUAUUUGGAGUGAAGAUAUAGAGUCAAACCCCUCCUCAUAUCCUGUAGCACAAUGUGUUCAAUUAUGCAAUGAAGCUUCAACGUAUGUAUGUAGAUCAUUUGAAACAGACACCAGACUCAACGGGUGCUACACUCAGACAAUCACGUGGCUUGAUGUAACUGAGAACAAACAUAUCUACAAUGACCGUUAUGAUCACUACCAACGAAAGUGCAUCUGGGGGGACAUAUAGAACAUGUCGCUUCUGACAAUUACAUGCAUGCUUUAUCUGAUGAAAUGAUACAUAGAAGGCCAUGUGUCCAGUUCCCUUCUCAGUGCCCCUGUUUCUAGUUACGGCUGACAUACAUCAGCUUAAUGUUUGUCCUAAGUCUCAUCAAGUUGACAAUAUCAGCUUUAUCGGUUAAUCAUUAAUCUUCCUUGCACAGAAGAUUUUGAACCUUUGCUCUUGUUUUGGUAUCAUAAAGGAUAAUGUUGGUGGGGAAAAGAUUUUGGGGUUAUAGUUCGUCCCAGAUUGAC
Haliotis rubra (blacklip abalone) is the source of this 873-nucleotide long non-coding RNA. RefSeq lists it as uncharacterized. The record is from RefSeq and is a predicted model, not a curated record. The transcript has 3 exons. NCBI's taxonomy places the organism in Eukaryota, Metazoa, Mollusca, Gastropoda, Lepetellida, Haliotidae.